AUGGCAUCCCAGCUGGAGUCACUCAUGAAGCGACUGUGGAGCUAUCUCCCCUCUUCUCUUAGCAGUUCCAGGAGCGACCCUCCGCAGCAGAUUCCUGAUCCCACCGGUGAUCCUCCAGCCGCUCAAGCCGGGGACACUCCCGCCGGUCAGGAGCUUCCACCCGCUCUUCAAGUUUCAGAUCUUGAGCAACUCCAAAGUCUUAACCAUAUAGGACGCCUUGAUGGUGCACUUGAGCCCGAUCUGGCCGGCAAGCCAAAGCUUGGCAGUUCCACCAGUUUCCCUCGACACAAAAUUCAUGAGCCUGUCGGCGAUUACUCCUCUCAGGAAGGAUCACGAAGGCUCGCGAUAGGGCAACCCGAUGGGACCCACCAAGGGCCCGUGCACCGCCGUGGUGUGAGCCUCCCCUAG
RNAcentral lists this ribosomal RNA (408 nucleotides) under Triticum aestivum (bread wheat). Its description in RNAcentral is "partial small subunit ribosomal RNA". Lineage: Eukaryota; Viridiplantae; Streptophyta; Magnoliopsida; Poales; Poaceae. The record is from RNAcentral.